AGAGGAUAGUGGAAUUCUAAGUGUAGAAGUGAAUUUCGUAGAUAUUAGAGGGAACACGGAUAGCGAAGGCAACUAUCUGGCCCUUUACUGACACUCAGAAGCGAAAGCUGGGGUAGCAAACAGGAUUAGAUACCCUGGUAGUCCAUGCUGUAAACGAUGAGUGCUAGAUGUUAGAAGUUUACUUCUAGUAUCGAAGCUAACGCGUUAAGCACUCCGCCUGGGGAGUACGGCCGCAAGGCUAAAACUCAAAUGAAUUGACGGGGACCCGCACAAGCAGUGGAGCAUGUGGUUUAAUUCGACGCUACGCGAAGAACCUUACCAGCUCUUGACAUGCUAGGUUAUAGAUUUAAGAGAUUAAAUUUUUCAGUUCGGCUGGGCUUAGUACAGGUGCUGCAUGGCUGUCGUCAGCUCGUGUCGUGAGAUGUUCGGUUAAGUCCGGCAACGAGCGCAACCCUCAUCUUCAGUUACUAACAGGUUAUGCUGAGGACUCUGGAGAAACUGCCGUUGGAAAAGCGGAGGAAGGCGAGGAUGACGUCAAGUCCUCAUGGCCCUUAUGGGCUGGGCUACACACGUGCUACAAUGGUAAUUACAAUAGGUCGCGAUAAGGCAACUUUGAGCUAAUCUUUAAAAAUUAUCUUAGUUCAGAUUGCUCUCUGCAACUCGAGAGCAUGAAGUUGGAAUUGCUAGUAAUCGUGGAUCAGCAUGCCACGGUGAAUACGUUCCCGGGUCUUGUACACACCGCCCGUCACACCAUGGGAGUUGGUUUUACCUGAAGCCGAUCUUUGAUCGUCCACGGUAAGGUCAGCGACUGGGGUGAAGUCGUAACAAGGUAGCCGUAGGGGAACCUGCGGCUG
This 854-nucleotide ribosomal RNA is filed under the name marine metagenome. Its description in RNAcentral is "bacterial SSU rRNA". It matches the Rfam family "Bacterial small subunit ribosomal RNA", at positions 653 to 1520 of the family's 1533-position model. The record is from RNAcentral.